GUGCCAGCAGCCGCGGUAAGACGAACCGUCCUAACGUUGUUCGGAAUCACUGGGCUUAAAGGGCGCGUAGGCGGGCUCUCAAGUCCGGGGUGAAAUCUUUCGGCUCAACCGGAAAAUAGCCUUGGAUACUGGGAGUCUCGAGGGAGGUAGGGGCGGGUGGAACUUCCGGUGGAGCGGUGAAAUGCGUUGAUAUCGGAAGGAACGCCGGUGGCGAAAGCGACCCGCUGGACCUCUUCUGACGCUGAGGCGCGAAAGCCAGGGGAGCAAACGGGAUUAGAUACCCCUGUAGUCC
Molecule: ribosomal RNA, 292 nt
Filed under: uncultured bacterium
Lineage: Bacteria
Description: partial 16S ribosomal RNA
Rfam family: Bacterial small subunit ribosomal RNA
Source: RNAcentral